RNAcentral lists this ribosomal RNA (253 nucleotides) under uncultured Eubacteriales bacterium. RNAcentral's name for it is "uncultured Clostridiales bacterium partial 16S ribosomal RNA". It matches the Rfam family "Bacterial small subunit ribosomal RNA", at positions 524 to 776 of the family's 1533-position model. The record is from RNAcentral. Lineage: Bacteria; Bacillati; Bacillota; Clostridia; Eubacteriales.
UACGUAGGGGGCAAGCGUUAUCCGGAUUUACUGGGUGUAAAGGGAGCGUAGACGGCGAUGCAAGUCUGAAGUGAAAGGCGGGGGCCCAACCCCCGGACUGCUUUGGAAACUGUAUGGCUGGAGUACAGUAGAGGUAGGCGGAAUUCGUGGUGUAGCGGUGAAAUGCUUAGAUAUCACGAAGAACUCCGAUUGCGAAGGCAGCCUGCUGGACUGUAACUGACGCUGAUGCUCGAAAGUGUGGGUAUCAAACAGG